CCUACGGGAGGCAGCAGUGAGGAAUAUUGGUCAAUGGGCGGAAGCCUGAACCAGCCAAGUAGCGUGCGGGAUGAAGGCCCUACGGGUCGUAAACCGCUUUUGCACAGGGACAACACCCUCCACUUGUGGAGGUCUGCAGGUACCGUUCGAAUAAGGGCCGGCUAAUUCCGUGCCCGCAGCCGCGGUAAUACUGAAGGCCCGAGGGUUAUCCGGAUUCAUUGGGGUUAAAGGGGGCGUAGGCGGGCGUGUAAGUCAGCUGUAAAAUUGUGGGGCUCAACCGCGCCCCGCCGUUGAAACUGGACGCCUUGAGUUCACGACAGGCAGGCGGAAUUCGUGGUGUAGCGGUGAAAUGCAUAGAUAUCACGAGGAACCUCGAUUGCGAAGGCAGCCUGCCGGGGUGCGACUGACACUGAGGCUCGAAGGUGCGGGUAUCAAACAGGAUUAGAUACCCCUGUAGUC
This 459-nucleotide ribosomal RNA is filed under the name uncultured bacterium. Its description in RNAcentral is "partial 16S ribosomal RNA". It matches the Rfam family "Bacterial small subunit ribosomal RNA", at positions 338 to 795 of the family's 1533-position model. The record is from RNAcentral.